CCUACGGGAGGCAGCAGUGGGGAAUAUUGCGCAAUGGGCGAAAGCCUGACGCAGCGACGCCGCGUGAGGGAUGAAGGUCUUCGGAUCGGAAACCUCUGUCAGCAGGGAAGAACGGUCACGGGGCUAAGCAGCAGUGAAUUGACGGUACCGGCAAAGGAAGCACCGGCUACCUCCGUGCCAGCAGCCGCGGUAAUACGGAGGGUGCGAGCGUUAAUCGGAAUUACUGGGCGUAAAGCGCUCGUAGGCGGUAUGUCAAGUCAAGGGUGAAAUCCCCGCGCUCAACGUGGGAACUGCCUUUGACACUGGCAAACUGGAGUGUGUUAGAGGUUAGUGGCAUUCCAGGUGUAGCCGUUAAAUCCGUAGAUAUC
Molecule: ribosomal RNA, 368 nt
Filed under: uncultured bacterium
Lineage: Bacteria
Description: partial 16S ribosomal RNA
Rfam family: Bacterial small subunit ribosomal RNA
Source: RNAcentral